GGCAUGGCCAGUUCCCAAGGUCACUACAAGGCUGAGGCUCAGCCCUCUGAGUCCUCCAGCUGAGCCUGCUUCCCCACCUAAGGGAUAAGGAACAAGCUCAGGAAAUAUUUCAUACUUGAAUAGCUGUUUCUGGAUGGCUGAAGAAAAGCACUGUUGAUGCAUGCCAGAGAUAAAACAGAAGUAAAACAUGUCUGUAAUGCUUUUUCCUGAUUAAAUGUGAUCAGCGAUACCCACGAGGUGAGAUGUGCAUAUUGUCCAUGAGAGGAUCAAGAGAAGACAAGCACUCUAAUGGUCUGUUUCUAAAGGGACCAAGGCUUACAUCACCAUCUGUUUCCUCCUGACUGUGCUAUUGAAUUCCAGGCCAUCUUUGAUACAGCAGGAAGAGUCUAGAAAUCAGGCAAGUUCCACCAAGUUUUGAAAACUCAGUGACUAUGCAUGAAAUGAGUGCUCAUUGGGCAGCGAUGCUGUUGUCAGUGUCUGGUUGUGCUUCCGUGUAGUAGUGGCUCUAAUGCAUUCCCCAACCUGGUU
This 528-nucleotide long non-coding RNA is filed under the name Numida meleagris (helmeted guineafowl). RNAcentral's name for it is "lncRNA (ENSNMEG00000023179.1)". Lineage: Eukaryota; Metazoa; Chordata; Aves; Galliformes; Numididae. The record is from RNAcentral.